GCUUGUCUCAAAGAUUAAGCCAUGCAUGUCUAAGUACAAGCCGCUAGUUCGGCGAAACCGCGAAUGGCUCAAUAAAUCAGUUAUGGUUCCUUAGAUCCACUCCAUCCUACUUGGAUAACUGUGGUAAUUCUAGAGCUAAUACAUGCAUUACGCCUGACUUUUCGGAAGGGCAGUAUUUAUUAGAUAACAGACCAUCUCCCCCAAAGGAAAUGUGGUGAAUCAUAGUAACUAAUCGGAUCGCAUGGGCUUUGCCCGCGACAAACCAUUCAAGUUUCUGCCCCAUCAGCUUUCGAUGGUAGUGUAUUGGACUACCAUGGCUAUUACGGGUAACGGAGGAUUAGGGUUCGAUUCCGGAGAGGGAGCCUGAGAAACGGCUACCACAUCUAAGGAAGGCAGCAGG
RNAcentral lists this ribosomal RNA (400 nucleotides) under uncultured fungus. Its description in RNAcentral is "partial small subunit ribosomal RNA". It matches the Rfam family "Eukaryotic small subunit ribosomal RNA", at positions 30 to 432 of the family's 1831-position model. The record is from RNAcentral. Lineage: Eukaryota; Fungi.